UCUGCCCUGCACUCUGGGAUAAGCCCGGGAAACUGGGUCUAAUACCGGAUAUGACCUUCGGUCGCAUGAUCGUUGGUGGAAAGCUUUUGCGGUGUGGGAUGGGCCCGCGGCCUAUCAGCUUGUUGGUGGGGUGAUGGCCUACCAAGGCGACGACGGGUAGCCGGCCUGAGAGGGUGACCGGCCACACUGGGACUGAGACACGGCCCAGACUCCUACGGGAGGCAGCAGUGGGGAAUAUUGCACAAUGGGCGCAAGCCUGAUGCAGCGACGCCGCGUGAGGGAUGACGGCCUUCGGGUUGUAAACCUCUUUCAGCAGGGAAGAAGCGCAAGUGACGGUACCUGCAGAAGAAGCACCGGCUAACUACGUGCCAGCAGCCGCGGUAAUACGUAGGGUGCAAGCGUUGUCCGGAAUUAUUGGGCGUAAAGAGCUCGUAGGCGGCUUGUCGCGUCGGUUGUGAAAGCCCGGGGCUUAACCCUGGGUCUGCAGUCGAUACGGGCAGGCUAGAGUUCGGUAGGGGAGACUGGAAUUCCUGGUGUAGCGGUGAAAUGCGCAGAUAUCAGGAGGAACACCGGUGGCGAAGGCGGGUCUCUGGGCCGAUACUGACGCUGA
This 610-nucleotide ribosomal RNA is filed under the name Streptomyces sp. SUK11. RNAcentral's name for it is "bacterial SSU rRNA". It matches the Rfam family "Bacterial small subunit ribosomal RNA", at positions 125 to 749 of the family's 1533-position model. Lineage: Bacteria; Bacillati; Actinomycetota; Actinomycetes; Kitasatosporales; Streptomycetaceae. The record is from RNAcentral.